Molecule: long non-coding RNA, 3423 nt
Organism: Condylostylus longicornis
Lineage: Eukaryota; Metazoa; Arthropoda; Insecta; Diptera; Dolichopodidae
Exons: 3
Source: RefSeq, a predicted model, not a curated record
CUUGUAGUCAAAAGUUUACAAAAAACAUCCAGAAUUUUUUGGAAGCACGAUUUAUUGUUCUCUGCCUUUCGAAAACGCAUUUUAUUCAAUUUGGAAUACAAUCAAAAUGAAGCAUGAUAUAUCGUCAAAGUCUACGCUUUUUCUUACAAUACAUAAUACUGCCUGUACGUAUACCUGAACAUAAUUAACAUUCAGUAAAGGUGUUGAAAUAAAUAGAAACAACCAGGUUACAAUUUAAUGUAGUAUCUACAUACAUUUAUAUAAACAUAUUAUAAAAGGAACAUAUUCUCAAUGAAAUUAUGUAAAAAUCGGAAAUUAUUGAAAAAUUAUUAAUUACAAAAGUUAUUUUUUACAAAAACAUUUUUUUAUUCUUUUUUGUGGGAUUUAAAAUACAGUAAUGUUCCAACAUAACGAACGAUAUAACAUCAAGGCCGUUCGUUAUAUACAUCGAAUCCAUCUUUCCAAAUGAGGGCAUAAGUACAUACUACAAUCAAAAGAAAGUUUUUUUUUUAAAUCACAAAUAUGUAACAAAAAAUUAAUGAUUAUUUUUUUUUGAAAAUAAUUAAAGUUUAGGCCGCAGAAAAAAUGAAUAAUGCUGACCAAAAAAUAUCCAAACAUGAAUACAUACGCCAAUUUCGUUAUUUUUGAGUCAAAAACACUUUUACAGGUUUUUACGGAUGACCUCUCAGAAUAUUUAAUCCGUUUUUCGACAUCUCGUUUAGUUUUAUAGAUAUUCAAAUGUUACUUUGAUUCACCUCCAUUUUUAAAUCUAUUUGGGAUGCAAAUUGAACUAUAUCCAAAAUUGUUGGCGUAUGGAUUAAAUUUUCAAAAAAUUUUUUUAGAAUUUUUUUUACUGCUGUAAUGAUCUAUGUCAUGGAUUUUUUUUAGUGCUGUAAUGAUCCAUGUCAUUGUGUAUCGGCAUAAAUUAUUUUUUGAUUUAUCCACAUUAUUUUUUAUAUUCAUUACCGUAUAGUGUAUACAAUAGGUAGGUUAUGUGAUGGCAACAAAUUUUGCAUAUCGAGUUUUCGGUGGGAACACGCACCUCUCUAUGGCAGGAAAGUGUAAAUAAACUAUUUUUUGCAACUUGUCGGCCUGUCAGUCUGUCGGUCUGUCGUACUGUGUAUGUACGCGUGUAUCUCAAGUUCGGCGGAACCGAUUUUGAUGAAAUUAGAUAUGUAAGUUUAUUUCGACUAUGGCACGGAUUGAUUAAUUAUUGGAAUACCUUAGUCCUCGGGAGCUGCACUUUUUAGCGGGCCUGUUUUACAUUUUUGACCAUUUUGAAGAAAAUAUUCAACCGAUUUACUUGAAAUUUCACAUAUAAGCUUCGCUCGAACGUCCGCGAAAUCUCCUUACUUUUGGAAGGAAUCAGCCAUCAGCAACUGGACGUUUACUACGGACCAAACAUAUAUUUUUGCGUAUAUAAAGAGAAAUAAUCAACCGAUUUCAUUGAAAUUUAAUAUGUACUUAAAUUUCUCGUAUUAAAACAAUGAACUUUUUCGAAAGAACAGGGCUCGAAAACUGAUCUGUGGGCUGAUUUUACAUUUUUUACCAUAUCUACGGAACGAAUUGAUGGAAUUUCUUGAAAUUUGAGUUUUGAGUUCUGGUAGCACAGAACGAAACUCUACUAAGAGCCACAUUUACAUUUUUCUGGGUAUAUUUACUAUAAACUUACUAAUGCCUUAUUAAGAAGUAUUUAACAGACAUUUUUAUAAUAUUUUCUAACACUUUCACUUAACUAGACAAUACAUCUCGGACGGACUUAAUCGACAUGUCUGUCCGUCCGUCUGAUUGCACGAUAACUCAAAAACGAAUAAUUAAAUCGACACCAAACUUUCACAAGUUUUUUCCUUUGUGCCAACGACGGCUGGUAUUGUAAUUUACGACGCGUUCGAAUCAAUUAGCUGCAAUACAACUCAAAGAGGUUCUUUUAAAUAUUUCAAAAAGCUAUAGAGAUAUUAAUAUCUAAUGGGAAGAUGUGUCCAAUUAUACUUCACAUAUUUUCUGAAAAUUUUUAAUGGAAUUGUAAAUUAUUAUUAAUAUUAAAUAUUUUUAAUGGAAUGGUUCGGCUAGUUGCCAUACAACUAUGAAAGGUAAUUUUAAAUUUAUGGAAAAAUAAUAAACCUAAAUUCAUGAAAUUCGGCAGUCGUGUGUCCAAUUAUAGGUCAGAUAUAUUUCUCAAGUUUUGGUGGAAUUGCUUGACAGGUUCGGGUAGCUGAUAUACAACUUCGAAAGUUAAUUUUAAAUAUUUGGAAAAAUAUAUUAAGGCUAGAUUCAUGAAACUCGGCAGUCAUGUGUCCACUUACAGGUCAGACAUAAUAUCUGUGAAGUUUCUAUGAAGUGGUUUGACAAGUUCAAGUUAGUUAUUUCCAAUCAAAGUUAUUCCCAAAUAUUUCAAAAACAAAUUUUUAAACUCAGAUUGUCAAAGUGCAGGGUAUUAUUCAGUCGAUUUAUACCGACUGAAACGUUUUUACUUGUUAAUCAUUUUAAACAAAUCAGAUUUAUUUACGAUUACGAUUAAAUUGUUUGAUUUUAUUUAUCACACUUAAUUUAUGAUUGAAGUUUUACUUAAUAUUUUUACCACUUCUUAAAAAACUCUAAAAAAGCUUUAAACACUGUUUUAAAAGUUUUUGAACAGAGAGAAAUUAGUAUCAUAUUUUAAAGUAAUUCUUUCGCUGACAAAUUCAAAACAUUCAUAGAUUUCGUUAAAAUACUUUUUAAAACGCCUGAGCAAUGCAAUAAUUUAAUUGCCGAGUCUUUUAAUAACAAAUAAAAAUGUUUAAGUCAUUCUUAGCUGAAUGAAUUAUACCCUAUACCUUGUUAUAUUUAUGUCUAACAAAAUUAAGUAAUUUGUCUGUUCGUUAAAAAUAGUUAUCUAAUCUAUUUUAUUUUGGUUUUUUAGUUUUCUUGUUUUUUUUUUAAAUAUUUGUUGAUCACAACGAUUUGAUUUGGUAAAUUUGUCUAUUAAUUAUAAUAUUAGAAACAAAUUUUUUGAUAUUUAUUACAUAGAGAGUACUUAAUUCAAAAAAUUUACCGGUUUGUUUUAUAUUGGAAUGUUCGUAAUAUUGACGCACCGCUGUCAUGCUAACAAAAAUUUUUUUACUCAUCUAACAACCCUGCUAAAUCUGUAUUAGUCGUUUAGCUUUUUGCACUUUUUUAUUGAAUUUAUUUAAAUUAAUUUCAGUCAAGCUGACGAUCUAAGGAUAAUUUAGUCAAAAAGUUUUGUUUUUUAUGAUUUUACAUUGACGAAAGCAGUGCGCAUUCCAAUUCGUUUGGUUUUUUAGUUUUGUUGUUUUUUUUUUAAUAUUUGUUGAUCAAAACGAUUUGAUUUUAUAUUAUUGCAAGCACAUAACCAGUUAACUAUAGUUUAAUAUAACUGUUACUAGCUUUUUCUGGUUUUUUGUAAAUUUUUUUUAUAAAUUUAUA